This 1373-nucleotide ribosomal RNA is filed under the name uncultured bacterium. Its description in RNAcentral is "bacterial SSU rRNA". It matches the Rfam family "Bacterial small subunit ribosomal RNA", at positions 28 to 1381 of the family's 1533-position model. The record is from RNAcentral.
GAUGAACGCUGGCGGCGUGCCUAAUACAUGCAAGUCGAGCGAACGGACGAGAAGCUUGCUUCUCUGAUGUUAGCGGCGGACGGGUGAGUAACACGUGGAUAACCUACCUAUAAGACUGGGAUAACUUCGGGAAACCGGAGCUAAUACCGGAUAAUAUUUUGAACCGCAUGGUUCAAAAGUGAAAGACGGUCUUGCUGUCACUUAUAGAUGGAUCCGCGCUGCAUUAGCUAGUUGGUAAGGUAACGGCUUACCAAGGCAACGAUGCAUAGCCGACCUGAGAGGGUGAUCGGCCACACUGGAACUGAGACACGGUCCAGACUCCUACGGGAGGCAGCAGUAGGGAAUCUUCCGCAAUGGGCGAAAGCCUGACGGAGCAACGCCGCGUGAGUGAUGAAGGUCUUCGGAUCGUAAAACUCUGUUAUUAGGGAAGAACAUAUGUGUAAGUAACUGUGCACAUCUUGACGGUACCUAAUCAGAAAGCCACGGCUAACUACGUGCCAGCAGCCGCGGUAAUACGUAGGUGGCAAGCGUUAUCCGGAAUUAUUGGGCGUAAAGCGCGCGUAGGCGGUUUUUUAAGUCUGAUGUGAAAGCCCACGGCUCAACCGUGGAGGGUCAUUGGAAACUGGAAAACUUGAGUGCAGAAGAGGAAAGUGGAAUUCCAUGUGUAGCGGCGAAAUGCGCAGAGAUAUGGAGGAACACCAGUGGCGAAGGCGACUUUCUGGUCUGUAACUGACGCUGAUGUGCGAAAGCGUGGGGAUCAAACAGGAUUAGAUACCCUGGUAGUCCACGCCGUAAACGAUGAGUGCUAAGUGUUAGGGGGUUUCCGCCCCUUAGUGCUGCAGCUAACGCAUUAAGCACUCCGCCUGGGGAGUACGACCGCAAGGUUGAAACUCAAAGGAAUUGACGGGGACCCGCACAAGCGGUGGAGCAUGUGGUUUAAUUCGAAGCAACGCGAAGAACCUUACCAAAUCUUGACAUCCUUUGACAACUCUAGAGAUAGAGCCUUCCCCUUCGGGGGGGCAAAGUGACAGGUGGUGCAUGGUUGUCGUCAGCUCGUGUCGUGAGAUGUUGGGUUAAGUCCCGCAACGAGCGCAACCCUUAAGCUUAGUUGCCAUCAUUAAGUUGGGCACUCUAAGUUGACUGCCGGUGACAAACCGGAGGAAGGUGGGGAUGACGUCAAAUCAUCAUGCCCCUUAUGAUUUGGGCUACACACGUGCUACAAUGGACAAUACAAAGGGCAGCGAAACCGCGAGGUCAAGCAAAUCCCAUAAAGUUGUUCUCAGUUCGGAUUGUAGUCUGCAACUCGACUACAUGAAGCUGGAAUCGCUAGUAAUCGUAGAUCAGCAUGCUACGGUGAAUACGUUCCCGGGUCU